This 253-nucleotide ribosomal RNA is filed under the name uncultured bacterium. RNAcentral describes it as "partial 16S ribosomal RNA". It matches the Rfam family "Bacterial small subunit ribosomal RNA", at positions 524 to 776 of the family's 1533-position model. The record is from RNAcentral.
UACGUAGGGUGCGAGCGUUGUCCGGAAUUACUGGGCGUAAAGAGCUCGUAGGUGGUUUGUCGCGUUGUUCGUGAAAACCUGAGGCUUAACCUUGGGCGUGCGGGCGAUACGGGCAGACUGGAGUACUGCAGGGGAGACUGGAAUUCCUGGUGUAGCGGUGGAAUGCGCAGAUAUCAGGAGGAACACCGGUGGCGAAGGCGGGUCUCUGGGCCGAUACUGACGCUGAGGAGCGAAAGCGUGGGGGGCGAACAGG